AUAUUUUUUUUGGUGACUCAUAAUAACUUUACGGAUCACAAUAAUUUAUUUUGUGACAUAUCAUUCAAGUUUCUGACCUAUCAGCUUUAGACGGUAGGGUAUUGGCCUACCGUGGCUAUGACGGGUAACGGGGAAUUAGGGUUCGAUUCCGGAGAGGGAGCCUGAGAAACGGCUACCACAUCUAAGGAAGGCAGCAGGCGCGCAAAUUACCCAAUCCUAAUACAGGGAGGUAGUGACAAGAAAUAACAAUACAGGACUUUACGGUUUUGUAAUUGGAAUGAGUUAAGUAUAAACCCCUUUACAAGUAUCAAUUGGAGGGCAAGUCUGGUGCCAGCAGCCCGCGGUAAUUCCAGCUCCAAUAGCGUAUAUUAAAGUUGUUGCAGUUAAAAAGCUCGUAGUUGGAUUUCUGUUAAUACCUUAUAUAUAAUAUUUUUUUUUAAAUAUUAUUAUGUAAGAUUAACAUAAUUCAUAUUUUUUAAGACUGAAUUUUUAGUUUUGAUAAUAUGAAAUUUUACUUUGAGAAAAUUAGAGUGCUUAAAGCAGGCUUUUGCCUUGAAUACUCCAGCAUGGAAUAAUGAUAAAAGAUUUUUAUCUUUUUUUUAUUGGUUCUAAGAUAAAAAUAAUGAUUAAUAGGGACAGUUGGGGGCAUUUGUAUUUAACAGUCAGAGGUGAUAUUCUUAGAUUUGUUAAAGACAAACUAAUGCGAAAGCAUUUGCCAAGGAUGUUUUCAUUAAUCAAGAACGAAAGUUAGGGGAUCGAAGACGAUCAGACACCGUCGUAGUCUUAACCAUAAACUAUGCCAACUAG
Molecule: ribosomal RNA, 807 nt
Filed under: Cryptosporidium felis
Lineage: Eukaryota; Apicomplexa; Conoidasida; Eucoccidiorida; Cryptosporidiidae
Description: 18S ribosomal RNA
Rfam family: Eukaryotic small subunit ribosomal RNA
Source: RNAcentral